GCUGUGCUGCCAGAGGGUGGCUGACAGUGGCCUCGGGGAGCUGGUUUGUGCCAUGGAAAAAUGACGUGCGCAGCAUGCAGCAGCCUUGUGGAUUCUGUGUGGAUUCUGCCUCAGUGGUUUCCCAGAGCGAGGGGUGGCUAUUGUGCCCUUAUGUGAAUAAGCUAAAGGGCUUGCUCUGGAGGGCUGUGCAAACCUAGCUUUUCCUGCUUACUCCUGCCAGGCCAUGGGGCCCCAUGAUGGCCCCGGCUAUUCAUCUCCCUGUGAGACCAUCUGACUGAAGUGAGCAGCAGCCUCUUGUCUCCUCUGUCCUGCAGACAGAGCUCUCUCCGUGUAACUUAUGAGCUUGCAAUAGUGGCCAUAAUGACUCUGGGACAGAAAAAGAAAUACUUCAAGGAGCCACAUGGACAAAGGAGGACAGAUAAAAGGCAUCUUAUGCCUUUCCAUGGCAGACUGCGUAAGGACACUCGAAAGCCGGAGUGGUGUGCGGUACCUGCUGGGCUGUCUGAAGAGAGCGGUUGAGACACAGGUCUGACAUGACUUGAAAGAUGGGUAAUAACGUACCAGAACUAUCACCUUUAUCGCAAGUCAGUGAUUUUGAAUUCAGCUCAUCUUUCUAAUGGUCAAAAAUUGUUACCAAGAGAGAGAAGUUCAGUUGCCUGUUUGUUGUAAGUGCAAGAGGAGGCCAAAACCCCCAUCUCUGCUGCCUCCUGAGCUCUGUUCUUCCUCCUUGGAGGUUCCCCAGGCCAAGCAUUGUGUAUGGUGAUGGUGCGACAUGAUGAACUUCCACGUCACCCUCAUCUUUGCUGCAGCAUUUUUGUGAGUAAAACAAAUUGUCCACUUUCAACUUGCCAAGUACCAAGGCCUGAUCCUCUAGCUGAAAAGCAUAUGGGCUUCUUCUCUCCUGCAGCGUGCCUGGUCUUGGUGCUGUCUGGAGAAGGGCCAUCAGGACUGCCCUGCCCCACCGCAGGGUUGCGGCAAUGGAGGGUGCCCCGCGCAGAGGCCCUCGCCCUCCGUGCCCCAGUAGCCCUCCUCCAGCGGCACCGCAGCCCUGGGCCUGGCACCUCGAGCCACCAUCUGCCUUCCCUAGGCUGCCUCCUGCUCCGCAAUGACAUUUCUGAACAUUUCAUACAUAUUUAAGAUGAGUUGUUAGGUGCCUGCCUUCCUGUAAAAGCUUUUUAAAUUAUUUUUGAAUGAA
Molecule: long non-coding RNA, 1195 nt
Organism: Gymnogyps californianus (California condor)
Lineage: Eukaryota; Metazoa; Chordata; Aves; Accipitriformes; Cathartidae
Exons: 3
Source: RefSeq, a predicted model, not a curated record